GUGAAAUUGUUGAAAGGGAAACGAUUGAAGUCAGUCGUACCGACGAGAAAUCAGCUUUUCGAAUGUGCAUUUGUGGGCGUAUGAAAGCUUUACAGCCUUGUUGUUUGCAAUAUGUAUGUUUCUUUGGUGUACUUUUUCGUAUGGUAGGUCAAUGUCAGUUUUGAUCGCCAUAAAAUGAUUGGAGGAAUGUAGCUUUGGCCUCGGUGGAAGUGUUAUAGCCUUUGGUAAAUGUGGUGAUUAGGACCGAGGAUUACAACGAAUACCUUUUAGGCUAUCCGUCUGACCUCUGAAAGUUACUUGGGUGCCGAAAGCUUGCUUACGGCCAUUUAAGUUGACGGUCAAAAGGUUAGAACGUGAUUACAUUCGUUAAGGACGUUGACGUAAUGGCUUUAAACGAC
Molecule: ribosomal RNA, 398 nt
Filed under: uncultured Glomeraceae
Lineage: Eukaryota; Fungi; Glomeromycota; Glomeromycetes; Glomerales; Glomeraceae
Description: partial 28S ribosomal RNA
Source: RNAcentral